AGAGACUAAAUAUGGGAGAAGUUUUGAGGUGAAGGUGGUAGUUGGGUCAACUUUAACUGCCCUUUGGAUCCUCUGAAACAACCUCAACUAUAAGAAAAAUAUCUCAACUAUAAGACAAAAAUGCACAAGGACAGGAGCAGGAGAGGAAGCAGCUGCAGCCAGUAAUGCUAAAAAGUCCCCACAGACCCAAGAAAAUGAAAGCCUGAAAUAGGAAGGAAAGCUUUCCCCACAAGGUUCACAAAUGGUAGCAGUGAGCACUUCUGGAAUGGAAGAGAGAGCCUGUUCCUGGUGAUGCUCAGAUCCCCUGUCAGCCCUGUGCUACCUUACAGCAGCCCCCUUCCUCUUCCUGAGGAGAGACUAUGUGUGUAUCUAAAGCAGUUAAAGAUGAGUCCCCAAACAGAGUGGCAGAGGCAGCUCAAAAGAGAGGUGCAGAGGUAGUGGCUUAACACUGGGAUCAGGGUCAAGUGAACAUGUACCUACUGACAUAUACAAGCCCCUUUCAGGGAUUUCAUGGCACAGGGAUCCAGGAGCCUAGGAGAGGCUUUUGGGUUGAGUAACAGGAACCAUCAGCACAGUUUCACAUCCAUAGUUGCUCAGAUGUCCAAUUAGCAUACUGCAGAGAAGGCCACAGUGAAAAGUGCCACUUGGCACAGAACUUCUGAUCCAUCUCAGUCCUUCCCAGGCAAAUAGGAGUGGGCAGCUGAGCUGACAUGUCAAAAGGCCUGUAUCAGGAAAUACAAAGCCUCAAUAGGUUUUUGUUUUGCUUUGUUUGUUUGUUUGUUUUUUAAGUUGUAGGAAACAAGCCAUGUAGAGGGAGUGGUAAACAUCAAUAAAACUACCAAUAACAUAAGUAGGGAAAUGUGCAAGGAUGCCACAAUCUACAAAAGGGAAGUAUGUGUGAAGAAAGAGUAGGGGAUAAAAAGAAAGCAUUCUUGGAGCUUGAAAGAAAGUAGCAAGCAUAUAUAUGACAAAGUCUUCAAGGGAAAUACUGGGAGGGAGCACUAACCAGAAAGAAUUCACAACAGCAUAAAAUGGAAAGAAGAGAAGGGGGGGGGGAUGUUAAUUAGAGAAUCAACCAGACGGGAAGUGCUUUGGUCAGUUAAUAGGAGCCCUAACGUGGUAGAAAAUCAUUAGUCCAAUGACAGUUUUAACAAUGUGUUGGAGGCUGGGUGUGUGCCACCACCGCCCAGCUAUUUUUGUUUCAUUCCAUAACCUGGGGCAGAGGUGACUGGGUUAGCUUAUGACUGGCACCUCAGCUAACAUCCUGUGCCUGGGGCUCACUCAUUAGCUUUGGUGUUUCUCAUAGGCUCUCCCCUCCUCUGCCUCUCUUCAGAGUUACUCUCAAUGAUAUUAAAGUGUUG
RNAcentral lists this long non-coding RNA (1361 nucleotides) under Cricetulus griseus (Chinese hamster). Its description in RNAcentral is "lncRNA (ENSCGRG00015029212.1)". The record is from RNAcentral. Lineage: Eukaryota; Metazoa; Chordata; Mammalia; Rodentia; Cricetidae.